Teleopsis dalmanni is the source of this 1231-nucleotide long non-coding RNA. RefSeq lists it as uncharacterized. Lineage: Eukaryota; Metazoa; Arthropoda; Insecta; Diptera; Diopsidae. The transcript has 2 exons. The record is from RefSeq and is a predicted model, not a curated record.
CAUUUAAUUUACAUAAAAUAUAUGAAAUGAAAUAUUUGAAAAUUCAAGUCUAACGAGCUACAUUUAAUAAAACUCAAUGAAAACCUCAUGGAUCUGUGCUUUUUCAUGCAGCAAUGAAUUGUAAAAAAGCUGCGCCCGCCUACAAUUUUCUGAACAAACAGAAUUAUUCGAACCUGCUACAUAUUCAGAACUAAAGGCCACGGGCCUCAUACUGUCUAACCUAUUUGUGAUGAUGGGAGCGCCUCUACAAUGGCGAGACUCUUACUGUUAAAACCAUUUUCGACGACUUAAAAGCCUCUCGAGUUAGGGCUUCCGAUGAUACCAAUUGUGAUGAUGUCAUUUUUAAGGUGACGGGCCUCUACAGUUUAUUUUAACUGUAUUGAUUUAAGCCCCCAAAAAUAAUUAGCCUCAGACUGUACAUCUCAAAACCUAUGGGAUUAUUUAGAGGCAUCUAGGAUCGGGAAUGCCAGAAUAUCCAUUACCAAUUAUGAUGAUAAACGAACCUCUAGGCUUAGAAACUUCAGAUUUUCUAUUCCCGAUUAUGAUGAUUUGCGGAACUCUUAGCUUUAAAGCCUUAGACUUUCCGAUAUGAAUUUAUGUUGAUUUCCAGAUUUGUAAUAUGAUGUUAUUCUAAAUUUGUUAUCCUCAACCCCUGUAAGGUCGAUAGUCACGGGCUAUCCAUUAUAAAAUAUGAUGAUUAAAGGACCUAUAGAGUCAAGAAUCUCUGCGUGUCCAUUACCGAUUAUGACGGUUUAAAGGCCUGUGACGUCAGGAAUUUCAGACUGUCUAUUACUAAUUUUUGACGAUAGAUGCGAUGACCAUAACAGGAUGAGGAUGAGAAUUUCCGUCUGUUGAGUACAGAUCCUGAUGACUUACAUAUCUCUGAGGUCGAGAACCUCAAAGUGUGCACACCAAAUGUGAUGAUUUGAAGGCCUUUUAGGUCAAUAGAGUCCGACUAUCCAUUAUAGAUUACGAUGAUUAAAAGGAUUCUUGAUUCAUACCUCAAACUGCCUAUUACCGAUUUGUGAUGAUCAAUAAUACCCCAGAGACCUUUUGCUCUGGGAUCAAGAACUUGAGACACUACCAAAUAUGACAUAAAGGUCUCUAGGCUUCAUUUCAUUCAAAAAUGGAAUAAAGAAAACAUCCAGAAUGUAUAUUUUGUGUGUCAACAUGAUGUCGUGUUUUGCUUCCAUAUCCAUAUCAAGACUGGUAUUCAAGACUGGUAUUGAUU